CUAGAUAUACACAAAACAUGACAGUCAAUUUUUUCGAGAGUUUGAUCCUGGCUCAGGAUGAACGCUGGCUGUGUGCCUAAUACAUGCAUGUCGAGCGGAGUUCUUCGGAACUUAGCGGCGAAUGGGUGAGUAACACGUACUUAACAUGCCUUUUAGAUUGGGACAACGAUGAGAAAUUAUCGCUAAUACCGGAUACUUAUAUGGUUCGCAUGAACUAUAUAUAAAAGAAGCCUUUAAAGCUUCACUAAAAGAUUGGGGUGCGGAACAUUAGCUAGUUGGUAAGGUAAUGGCUUACCAAGGCGAUGAUGUUUAGCGGGGUUGAGAGACUGAUCCGCCACACUGGGACUGAGAUACGGCCCAGACUCCUACGGGAGGCAGCAGUAGGGAAUUUUCCACAAUGGACGAAAGUCUGAUGGAGCGACACAGCGUGCAGGAUGAAGGCCUUCGGGUUGUAAACUGCUGUUAUAAGGGAAGAAAAAGCAGUAGAGGAAAUGCUAUUGCCUUGACGGUACCUUGUCAGAAAGCAACGGCUAACUAUGUGCCAGCAGCCGCGGUAAUACAUAGGUUGCAAGCGUUAUCCGGAAUUAUUGGGCGUAAAGCGUCUGUAGGUUGUAUGUUAAGUCUGGCGUGAAAACUUGGGGCUCAACCCCAAAUUGCGUUGGAUACUGGCAUGCUAGAAUUGUGUAGAGGUUAGCGGAAUUCCUAGUGAAGCGGUGAAAUGCGUAGAUAUUAGGAAGAACAUCAACAUGGCGAAGGCAGCUAACUGGGCACAUAUUGACACUGAGAGACGAAAGCGUGGGGAGCAAACAGGAUUAGAUACCCUGGUAGUCCACGCUGUAAACGAUGAUGAUUAGCUGAUAGUAGAACUAUCGGCACAGCUAACGCAUUAAAUCAUCCGCCUGAGUAGUAUGCUCGCAAGAGUGAAACUUAAAGGAAUUGACGGGGAUCCGCACAAGCGGUGGAGCAUGUGGUUUAAUUUGAAGAUACGCGUAGAACCUUACCCACUCUUGACAUCUUCCGCAAAGCUAUAGAGAUAUAGUGGAGGCUAACGGAAUGACAGAUGGUGCAUGGUUGUCGUCAGCUCGUGUCGUGAGAUGUUCGGUUAAGUCCUGCAACGAGCGCAACCCUUGUCCUUAGUUAAUUUUCUAGGGAGACUGCCCGAGUAAUUGGGAGGAAGGUGGGGACGACGUCAAAUCAUCAUGCCUCUUACGAGUGGGGCAACACACGUGCUACAAUGGAUGGUACAAAGAGAAGCAAAACGGCAACGUCAAGCAAAUCUCAAAAAACCAUUCUCAGUUCGGAUUGUAGUCUGCAACUCGACUACAUGAAGUCGGAAUCGCUAGUAAUCGUAGAUCAGCUACGCUACGGUGAAUACGUUCUCGGGUCUUGUACACACCGCCCGUCACACCAUGGGAGCUGGUAAUGCCCGAAGUCGGUUUUGUUAACUACGGAGACAACUGCCUAAGGCAGGGCCGGUGACUGGGGUGAAGUCGUAACAAGGUAUCCCUACGAGAACGUGGGGAUGGAUUACCUCCUUUCUACGGAG
This 1546-nucleotide ribosomal RNA is filed under the name Mycoplasmopsis canis. Its description in RNAcentral is "Mycoplasma canis 16S ribosomal RNA". It matches the Rfam family "Bacterial small subunit ribosomal RNA". The record is from RNAcentral. Lineage: Bacteria; Bacillati; Mycoplasmatota; Mycoplasmoidales; Metamycoplasmataceae.